AACAAAUAUUAAAGGCAAUGCCUGCCCAGUGAAUAAUUAAACGGCCGCGGUACCCUAACCGUGCAAAGGUAGCAUAAUCACUUGUCUAUUAAUUGUAGACCUGUAUGAAAGGCAAAAUGAGGGUUUAACUGUCUCUUAUAAUUAAUCUAUUAAACUGAUCUCCCAGUAAAAAAGCUGGAAUACCACCAUAAGACCAGAAGACCCUGUGAAGCUUUAACUAAACUAUUAAACCAAAUAAUAAAUACUUUAGGUUGGGGCGACCUUGGAAAUAAAAAGAACUUCCAAAUCACUAAAUUUAUUAGGCUGACAAGCCAACUAACGACCCAGUUAAACUGAUAAUUGAACAAAGUUACUCCAGGGAUAACAGCGCUAUCUUCUUCAAGAGCCCAUAUCAAAAAGAAGGUUUACGACCUCGAUGUUGGAUCAGGACAUCCUAAUGGUGCAACCGCUAUUAAGGGUUCGUUUGUUCAACGAUUAACGUCCU
Molecule: ribosomal RNA, 484 nt
Filed under: Xenochrophis trianguligerus (triangle keelback)
Lineage: Eukaryota; Metazoa; Chordata; Lepidosauria; Squamata; Natricidae
Description: partial large subunit ribosomal RNA
Rfam family: Bacterial large subunit ribosomal RNA
Source: RNAcentral